This 513-nucleotide ribosomal RNA is filed under the name Staphylococcus agnetis. Its description in RNAcentral is "partial 23S ribosomal RNA". It matches the Rfam family "Bacterial large subunit ribosomal RNA", at positions 2413 to 2925 of the family's 2925-position model. The record is from RNAcentral. Lineage: Bacteria; Bacillati; Bacillota; Bacilli; Caryophanales; Staphylococcaceae.
UAGUGAUCCGGUGGUUCCGCAUGGAAGGGCCAUCGCUCAACGGAUAAAAGCUACCCCGGGGAUAACAGGCUUAUCUCCCCCAAGAGUUCACAUCGACGGGGAGGUUUGGCACCUCGAUGUCGGCUCAUCGCAUCCUGGGGCUGUAGUCGGUCCCAAGGGUUGGGCUGUUCGCCCAUUAAAGCGGUACGCGAGCUGGGUUCAGAACGUCGUGAGACAGUUCGGUCCCUAUCCGUCGUGGGCGUAGGAAAUUUGAGAGGAGCUGUCCUUAGUACGAGAGGACCGGGAUGGACAUACCUCUGGUGUACCAGUUGUCGGGCCAACGGCAUAGCUGGGUAGCUAUGUAUGGACGGGAUAAGUGCUGAAAGCAUCUAAGCAUGAAGCCCCCCUCAAGAUGAGAUUUCCCAACUUCGGUUAUAAGAUCCCUCAAAGAUGAUGAGGUUAAUAGGUUCGAGGUGGAAGCGUAGCGAUACGUGGAGCUGACGAAUACUAAUCGAUCGAAGACUUAAUCAAUUU